RNAcentral lists this transfer RNA (72 nucleotides) under Nephromyces sp. ex Molgula occidentalis. Its description in RNAcentral is "tRNA-Ala". It matches the Rfam family "tRNA". From Rfam's summary of the family: Transfer RNA (tRNA) molecules are approximately 80 nucleotides in length. Their secondary structure includes four short double-helical elements and three loops (D, anti-codon, and T loops). The record is from RNAcentral. Lineage: Eukaryota; Apicomplexa; Aconoidasida; Nephromycida.
GGGGAUAUAACUCAAAGGUAGAGUAUAUCUGUUGCAAAGAUAAGGUUAGCGGUUCAAAUCCGCUUAUCUCCA